RNAcentral lists this ribosomal RNA (311 nucleotides) under uncultured bacterium. RNAcentral describes it as "bacterial SSU rRNA". It matches the Rfam family "Bacterial small subunit ribosomal RNA", at positions 28 to 334 of the family's 1533-position model. The record is from RNAcentral.
GACGAACGCUGGCGGCGUGCCUAACACAUGCAAGUCGAACGGGGCUAGGAAGCUUGCUUUCUGAUGCCUAGUGGCGGACGGGUGAGUAACGCGUGAGUAACCUGCCUUUCAGAGGGGAAUAACGUUCUGAAAGAACGCUAAUACCGCAUAAACGUACAGCUUUCGCAUGGAAGCAGUACCAAAGGAGCAAUCCGCUGAGAGAUGGACUCGCGUCCGAUUAGCUAGUUGGUGGGGUAAAGGCCUACCAAGGCGACGAUCGGUAGCCGGACUGAGAGGUUGAUCGGCCACAUUGGGACUGAGACACGGCCCAG